This 428-nucleotide ribosomal RNA is filed under the name uncultured bacterium. RNAcentral describes it as "partial 16S ribosomal RNA". It matches the Rfam family "Bacterial small subunit ribosomal RNA", at positions 354 to 796 of the family's 1533-position model. The record is from RNAcentral.
GUGGGGAAUUUUGGACAAUGGGCGCAAGCCUGAUCCAGCGACGCCGCGUGGAGGACGAAGGCCUUCGGGUUGUAAACUCCUUUUGGAGGGGAAGAAUAAAUUGACGGUACCCUCAGAAAAAGCCACGGCUAACUACGUGCCAGCAGCCGCGGUAAUACGUAGGUGGCGAGCGUUACUCGGAAUUACUAGGUGUAAAGCGUAUGUAGGUGGUUAGAUAAGUCUAUGGUGAAAUUUCCUGGCUCAACUGGGAAGGGUACAUAGAUACUGUCUGGCUUGAGUGUGGGAGGGGAAGACGGAAUUCCUGGUGUAGCGGUGAAAUGCGUAGAUAUCAGGAGGAACACCGAUGGCGAAAGCAGUCUUCUGGCCCAAUACUGACACUGAGGUACGAAAGCUAGGGUAGCAAACAGGAUUAGAAACCCUUGUAGUCC